RNAcentral lists this ribosomal RNA (497 nucleotides) under uncultured bacterium. RNAcentral describes it as "partial 16S ribosomal RNA". It matches the Rfam family "Bacterial small subunit ribosomal RNA", at positions 28 to 507 of the family's 1533-position model. The record is from RNAcentral.
GAUGAACGCUGGCGGCGUGCCUAAUACAUGCAAGUCGAGCGAACAGAUGAGGAGCUUGCUCCUUUGACGUUAGCGGCGGACGGGUGAGUAACACGUGGAUAACCUACCUAUAAGACUGGGAUAACUUCGGGAAACCGGAGCUAAUACCGGAUAAUAUUUUGAACCGCAUGGUUCUAUAGUGAAAGACGGUUUUGCUGUCACUUAUAGAUGGAUCCGCGCCGUAUUAGCUAGUUGGUAAGGUAACGGCUUACCAAGGCAACGAUGCGUAGCCGACCUGAGAGGGUGAUCGGCCACACUGGAACUGAGACACGGUCCAGACUCCUACGGGAGGCAGCAGUAGGGAAUCUUCCGCAAUGGGCGAAAGCCUGACGGAGCAACGCCGCGUGAGUGAUGAAGGUCUUCGGAUCGUAAAACUCUGUUAUUAGGGAAGAACAAAUGUGUAAGUAACUAUGCACGUCUUGACGGUACCUAAUCAGAAAGCCACGGCUAACUACGUG